RNAcentral lists this ribosomal RNA (305 nucleotides) under uncultured bacterium. Its description in RNAcentral is "bacterial SSU rRNA". It matches the Rfam family "Bacterial small subunit ribosomal RNA", at positions 331 to 639 of the family's 1533-position model. The record is from RNAcentral.
CCUUUUUUGGCUUCUUUUUUGUAUAUUGGUCAAUGGACGCAAGUCUGAACCAGCCAAGUAGCGUGCAGGAUGACGGCCCUCCGGGUUGUAAACUGCUUUUAGUUGGGAAUAAAAGGGGGCUCGUGAGCCCCGUAUUGUAUGUACCAUCAGAAAAAGGACCGGCUAAUUCCGUGCCAGCAGCCGCGGUAAUACGGAAGGUCCGGGCGUUAUCCGGAUUUAUUGGGUUUAAAGGGAGCGUAGGCCGGCUUUUAAGUCAGCUGUGAAAGUCCGCGGCUCAACCGUGGAAUUGCAGUUGAAACUGGAGG